UACGUAGGGGGCAAGCGUUGUCCGGAUUUAUUGGGCGUAAAGAGCGUGUAGGCGGCCAUGUAGGUCCGGUGUGAAAACUCGAGGCUUAACCUCGAGAUGUCAUCGGAAACCAUUUGGCUAGAGUCCGGAAGAGGAGAGUGGAAUUCCUGGUGUAGCGGUGAAAUGCGCAGAUAUCAGGAAGAACACCGAUGGCGAAAGCAGCUCUCUGGGACGGUACUGACGCUGAGACGCGAAAGCGUGGGGAGCGAACAGG
This 253-nucleotide ribosomal RNA is filed under the name uncultured bacterium. Its description in RNAcentral is "partial 16S ribosomal RNA". It matches the Rfam family "Bacterial small subunit ribosomal RNA", at positions 524 to 776 of the family's 1533-position model. The record is from RNAcentral.